This 157-nucleotide ribosomal RNA is filed under the name uncultured bacterium. RNAcentral's name for it is "partial 16S ribosomal RNA". It matches the Rfam family "Bacterial small subunit ribosomal RNA", at positions 377 to 525 of the family's 1533-position model. The record is from RNAcentral.
GAAACCCUGACGCAGCGACGCCGCGUGAGUGAAGAAGGCCUUCGGGUUGUAAAGCUCUGUCAGGCGGAAAGAAGUGCAUCGUGGUUAAUACCCGCUAUGUUUGACGGUACCUCCAAAGGAAGCACCGGCUAACUCCGUGCCAGCAGCCGCGGUAAUA